CUAUCACGUGCUAUUAGUUCAUCUACAAUUGUACAGUGCUUACGCUGGAUGGGCCGUGCACCGACGGUUCUUGCCGCGGUACCUGUACGAUGCCGCGGAACCUGUGACACGAAGGAGUGGUUGCCGAGUACGCCUAACAGGAAAGUCACGAUUUUGGUGAGCCAGAGGCAUCUCUACACCCCAUACGAACCUCCGGCACUUCCGCAACCUGACAACACGGCAAAGCGUCUGAUCUGCAUGCUGCGACAAGAAUAUACAUGCAGCAAGUUCAAGUGCGCAGACCUCAAAUUGAAGAGGGCAUAGGCUCCAUGCUGCAGAAAAUGGGGUCCAAGAGCGACUCCUCUUCCAAGGAAUCAAGUGGCGAGUAGAUAUUCUGACUCACUACUUCAUCGUUCGUUGUGCUGGGGCAUGCACUGUGACACACAAAGGUAGUGGAGACAAAAACACAUGACAAGUGAAGCGCAAACUGUCAACUGAGUUUGGUGAACAAGAAGGAAGAACCUAUACCCGAAGCCACUAUCAUCAGCUGGCUGCGGGUUAUAUGUGCUAAAAAGGUGGAGAUAAGAUAAUCAGAAUGAAUCAGAACUUACAAGGCGACCCACUUGAAUCAUAUCGAGCCGAUAAUAUGUUGGAAAUUGAGUGACUAUAAGUCAGAGCCACAGACGGCUCGCUCACGCAGGCUUCAGCACCAGCCACAACUGUGCAAAAUGAUUCCCAUAUCUCUCGUCACUUUGCGCUUGCUUCUGACGAGGAUUUCCGCACUGUGAAAAAAUGGUGUGCAACCGCAUCUCGUGCAGUACACAGCCAAGUUGCCUGUGCAUUUACUAGGCUGGGAGCAUAUCUGUGAUCCCAGUGCUUCAGAUUCCAGCACCAGUGCACAACAUAAGCGCAGUUGCAUGUGAGCGGUACUUUGUAAAUGACUCCCGCUUCGCACACAACAUGUCCCCAAUUUUUCAUGUGCGAAGAGGCAGUUUUUUAUAAGAUACCGCUCACAUUCAACCAUGCUUACGUAGGAUAAAAGUGCUGGUGCUUGAAUCAGUGUCUCGGGGAGCACAGAUAU
Long non-coding RNA from Dermacentor silvarum, 1060 nucleotides. RefSeq lists it as uncharacterized. The transcript has 3 exons. Lineage: Eukaryota; Metazoa; Arthropoda; Arachnida; Ixodida; Ixodidae. The record is from RefSeq and is a predicted model, not a curated record.